RNAcentral lists this transfer RNA (74 nucleotides) under Asparagus officinalis (garden asparagus). Its description in RNAcentral is "tRNA A4U43_Ile554". It matches the Rfam family "tRNA". From Rfam's summary of the family: Transfer RNA (tRNA) molecules are approximately 80 nucleotides in length. Their secondary structure includes four short double-helical elements and three loops (D, anti-codon, and T loops). The record is from Rfam by way of RNAcentral. Lineage: Eukaryota; Viridiplantae; Streptophyta; Magnoliopsida; Asparagales; Asparagaceae.
AGGGAUGUAGCACAGCUUGGUAGCGCAUUUGUUUUAUGUAAAAAAUGUCACAGGUUCAAAUCCUAUCAUCCCUA